AAAAAAAAAAAAAAAAAAAAAAAAGUGGGUCCAACAACUGCUAGCUGAUACAAAGAAGACUAAUCUAAGAUCAACUGGAAUAACAGAAAAAUCAGAAGACAGCAAGAAUGGCAUUAAAAAAUCUAUUUACAGAAAUAAGAGCAGGAGACAUCUUAAGUAUAAGAAAAGAAAUAAAAAUACAGAUACAUGAGGCAUAUAGAACCCUAAAUAGCCAUGAUCGUAAGAGAAGCUCUCCAUGUUAAAAAAUUAAAAGUAGAAAUUACAUUCCACCUAGCUAUUCCCCUUCUAGGUGUCUUCCUGGAAGAACUAAAGUCCUCACGUUACAAUGAUACAUGUACACCCAUGUUUAUAGCAGCACAAUUCACAAUAGCUAGAUUUGAAGUGGCUAGUAUGUCCAUCAUACAGAUAAAUGUAUAAAGAAAAUUUGACAUUUAUAUGAAAUGGACUCUCAGUAUGCCAUAAGAAAGGAUAAAGAUGAGCCAUUUAUAGGAAAAUAGGUACAUCAUGAGAUCAUAGUCUUGUGAUAUAAAUCUGACACAGAAGCUUAAUUAUUGCCUUAUAUUAUGAAGCCAAAGUAUAAAGAGCAAAAUAAAACCUGGAGAAUAGGAAAUAGAGGGCUCUUCAUCACAUGGGAAGGGAAUCAAGAGAGAGAGAGGGAAGGGGGAGGAAGAAGGAAAUGAGGAAAAAAUAGAACUGUGAUGUAUUAGAUACAUGUACCAAGUCUUUAUGGAUGCGGUCAGUAAGUACUACAAACGUACACGAAAGAGUCCAAGAAAUGGAGCGGGGAGGAGGAGGGAGAAGAAGGAAGUGGUUUAAAAGAGAAUUAAGAAAAAUAAGACACACUAGAGAACCCCCAUGUCCUUCUCACCACAUGAAGACACUGCCUACAAACUGUGAAGCAGACCCUCACCAAACACUAAAUCUAAUGGCGCCUCCCUCCUUUCUAGCCCCUAGAACUGGGAGAACUACCGUCAUGUUGUUCACUAACACAGAGUCUGUGGUGUUUGUUUCAGCACCUGAACAAGCUACGUCAUAUAGAGCUCAUAAUGAUCAUCCUUUGCAUUGCUCUAUAUAUGAGUUUUUUAGGAGACAAUCUGUAGAACUGGCAAUAAAUCAAGGGAAGAAUUGUGAAAUCUUUCCAGAGCAUUUGAAGCUCUUCUAAACUGUGAUUUAUCACCAUGAGAACUUGAUGGCCUAGCUAUUUUUUGUAUUUCACAUUCAUUGUUUUAUGCGUGUCUGCAUUUAUACAUUGUUGUGCUGUCUUUAAUAAUGAUUUCUCUGGAGAAGGAUCCCUUUCAUACAAAAAAAAUGUGUGGAAACAAUAAAACAAAAGGAAAUGCUUCAUGUCUCAUGAAACAGUGUUGCUUGCAUGUACUUUUGCUGUCGUCCCCGGAUGCCUUGGUUGACCACUUUUGCUCUGUUUAUCCGAAUGAGAGAUGAGGUAGGCUAUGUACAACAAGGGCUCCUCACGAGGGACACCAAGGGCAUCCCGAUACAGAUCAUUCAUGGUAGGGGAGUGCACUGGGGGUUGUAAGAAAUUAAGUGACAUUUAUGACUUCUAGAACAAGAUGCCAGUAGUCACCUCCACCCCACUCGCCACAAGCAAAAUGAUCUCC
Fukomys damarensis (Damara mole-rat) is the source of this 1616-nucleotide long non-coding RNA. Lineage: Eukaryota; Metazoa; Chordata; Mammalia; Rodentia; Bathyergidae. The record is from Ensembl.